Molecule: ribosomal RNA, 427 nt
Filed under: uncultured bacterium
Lineage: Bacteria
Description: partial 16S ribosomal RNA
Rfam family: Bacterial small subunit ribosomal RNA
Source: RNAcentral
UGGGGAAUAUUGGACAAUGGGCGAAAGCCUGAUCCAGCCAUGCCGCGUGUGUGAAGAAGGUCUUCGGAUUGUAAAGCACUUUAAGUUGGGAGGAAGGGCAUUAACCUAAUACGUUAGUGUUUUGACGUUACCGACAGAAUAAGCACCGGCUAACUCUGUGCCAGCAGCCGCGGUAAUACAGAGGGUGCAAGCGUUAAUCGGAAUUACUGGGCGUAAAGCGCGCGUAGGGGGUUUGUUAAGUUGGAUGUGAAAUCCCCGGGCUAAACCGGGGAACUGCAUUCAAAACUGACUGACUAGAGUAUGGUAGAGGGUGGUGGAAUUUCCUGUGUAGCGGUGAAAUGCGUAGAUAUAGGAAGGAACACCAGUGGCGAAGGCGACCACCUGGACUAAUACUGACACUGAGGUGCGAAAGCGUGGGGAGCAAACA